Molecule: small nuclear RNA, 169 nt
Filed under: Podiceps cristatus (great crested grebe)
Lineage: Eukaryota; Metazoa; Chordata; Aves; Podicipediformes; Podicipedidae
Description: U2 spliceosomal RNA
Rfam family: U2 spliceosomal RNA
About the family: U2 is a small nuclear RNA (snRNA) component of the spliceosome (involved in pre-mRNA splicing). Complementary binding between U2 snRNA (in an area lying towards the 5' end but 3' to hairpin I) and the branchpoint sequence (BPS) of the intron results the bulging out of an unpaired adenosine, on the BPS, which initiates a nucleophilic attack at the intronic 5' splice site, thus starting the first of two transesterification reactions that mediate splicing.
Source: Rfam by way of RNAcentral
CUCGCUUCUCAGCUUUUGACUAAGAUCAAGUGUAGCAUCUGUUCUUGUCAGUUUAAUAUCUGAUACAUCCUCAAUGAGAGGACUUUAUAUUAAAUGGCAUUUUGGGCUUGGGAGUCAGACCCGGAGUAUUAAAUUUGAGGGUCCGAUAUGCCGGCCGGACCCUGCUCUU